RNAcentral lists this unclassified non-coding RNA (216 nucleotides) under Hevea brasiliensis (rubber tree). The record is from RNAcentral. Lineage: Eukaryota; Viridiplantae; Streptophyta; Magnoliopsida; Malpighiales; Euphorbiaceae.
AGGCUGUAACAUAAGUCUCUGCUGACCCCAACAAAAAAGAAGAGAAAAAAAAGGGAAAGCAUGUUAAAAGAAAAGGGAAAAGCCAAAAGGAAAAUGAAGGGAGAGAGAAGAAAAUAAAAGAAGUGAAGCUUCUAAGUAACCUAUAAACAAUAACCAAUACUUAAAAUGAGAAACCAGGGAACAAAAAGGCAAAAAGGAAGGAUAACCAGAUAAUUU